UAAUUAGCAACUGCGUAGCAUUGCAGUAGAUGCUAACCUCAAGUAAACUUUCUUUCUUCGAGUUGCUGAAGUCCGUCAUCAUGUAUCGUCGACGAAUAUCCUCUUUAUGUUGCACUGUGGUGAAAAUGAGCUCCGUUGUGUUGCAGCCUCGCUCUGGUGCACAAAUCAUUUUUAACUCCACAGAGGAGCCCUGAACAGGUUGGCCAUGUUUUCAGUUGGUUUACUCAGCAAAGUAACCUACAACUGCAUACAGCGAGUGAAAUCACAAUAAGUACAGGAGUCAAAGUCAGCAGGAGGAAAUAUUCCAUCCAAGUGUAAUGCAAAAUUUUAACAGAAUUAUUUUAGGCAUUUUCACUCAAGAAACCAUCAACUUAACGUUACCUGAGGGCGAACUCAUUCACGAGGUUACAGGAUCUGACGAGCCACAAAGGUCUAACAUCUGUGGUAAAGAUUCCUUCAGUGUUCAUCACCCAGGAGGUUUUUAUCAGGAGGUGAAUUAUCCCCAGUCUCCUCUUCUCCAAAACAAACGGACCAGGACUCUGGAUGCACAGCUGCCAAUGGACAGACCUGAGUGUGCCGAUCAUCAUCAUCAUCAUCAAGCUUUUCACCUGUAUGGAACCCAGGAGAGCCGCUCUCCAGGGAUCGACGGUAACUAACUGCAGUGGUGGCAGCAGCCCGGCAGGAGAACAGGAAUGACCUUUGACCGUGGGAUCUGUGAGCAGCCACCGUCUUCCUCCAAGUGGUGACCCCUCAGCUGCAGCCGACCAUGCCUAAGCCGGGAAGACAGAGUGAGGAGCUCCCAGUCUACUGACCUUUCUACUGUUCAAGGUUUCUGUCCAAGCUGCUAUAAAGGUGAGUGGCAUCUGAUCUAACCACUGAACAUCGUCAUCAUCAUCAUCAUCAUCCUUCCAGUCACCCCUCAUGCACCUGCCUCCCCUCCCAGUGUUAAAUCAGACGCACAUGCUCUCUGUCAGCACACACACACUCCCAGACGAGAGGUAAGCUGAUCUCUCUGACAGACAGACGACUGGCAGCUUGGAGAGCCGAGGGCGCUGAGAAGGUAA
Lates calcarifer (barramundi perch) is the source of this 1064-nucleotide long non-coding RNA. RefSeq lists it as uncharacterized. The transcript is spliced from 11 exons. Lineage: Eukaryota; Metazoa; Chordata; Actinopteri; Centropomidae. The record is from RefSeq and is a predicted model, not a curated record.